AUAGACAACCCAAGAGGGGGGGUGAAUUGGGUUUUAAAUUAAUUUAGAUAUUUAAAACUUUAAGGAUGAUUAAUUAAAAACUAUUGCAAGUUAUUUAAUUAAUGCUAAGUGCUGUGAGUGAUGUGAGAGGAAGAAGAGAAGAGGCAAUCCAAUGCAAACACAGAGUUUUAUAGUGGUUCGGAGCUACCCCUUGCUCCUACGUCCACUCUCCAAGUCUCUCUUGGGAAUUCACUAUAACCCCCUUGGAUUACAGCUGGUUGUUUUGCAAGCUCACAACCAAACUUGUUGUUUUACGAGCUCACAACGAACUCGGUCGGUUUUUCCAGGCUCACCGACUAGAACCAACCCCGAUUGUUUUCCCGGGCU
This 366-nucleotide long non-coding RNA is filed under the name Phoenix dactylifera (date palm). Its description in RNAcentral is "long non-coding RNA (PDAC_LNC020707)". Lineage: Eukaryota; Viridiplantae; Streptophyta; Magnoliopsida; Arecales; Arecaceae. The record is from RNAcentral.